AAUAAUUUAAUGUCAUAUCAGUAUUUUCAUCCUGAAUUUCAGGAUUUUCAUGCUAAAAAAAAUCAAAUCCAAAUGAAAAUCCUAAAAUUCAGGAUGAUUUUGUUAAUGUGGCAUUAAACUAUU
Molecule: non-coding RNA, 123 nt
Organism: Gossypium hirsutum (cotton)
Lineage: Eukaryota; Viridiplantae; Streptophyta; Magnoliopsida; Malvales; Malvaceae
Source: Rfam